Molecule: long non-coding RNA, 561 nt
Organism: Camelus dromedarius (Arabian camel)
Lineage: Eukaryota; Metazoa; Chordata; Mammalia; Artiodactyla; Camelidae
Exons: 3
Source: RefSeq, a predicted model, not a curated record
AGGCUCUGCAAACAAGAUUGGGAGGAAGGACAUGGUUGCAAGAUCUCCUGAGUGAGAAGGGGUGCUCUUAUAUGGGGCAAGAGUUCACCAUCUUCUCCAGUGGGCAGGAACAGCCUACCGUAAAUGUGGAUUCUCUGAGGUGCCAAGGCAUGGCUUUCACUCAGGAACCACCAGUAACUCCACGCAGAACCAUGACUGCGCACAGAUCUACUCUAAGAACGUGGGAGAAGAGGUGAUGAGAUCCUGGAGACGGAUGGCAUGGAUUCAAACUUCUCCAAGAACAGCGCCAUCUCCUCAAGCAAAGAGCCUUAGGUCCACCAAACAUGAGUCUUGGAUAAAAGCCUGGGAAGGCAGCUGGCAGGAUGGAUGCAAAACUUGUUCUCUAAGGACAAGAAACAGGGAGCCCCCUGAAUAUUUAUGCCCAGAAGGAUACAUUCCAGUUCACACAGUGGGAAUGAAGUGAUGGAGCUCGGCGGUGGCAUUUACGAGAAUCACCCAGGGAAGCCCUGCGCCAGGCCCGUGCGCUGAAGAGAGCUUUAGAAAGACCGAAGGUAAGGGGCC